This 122-nucleotide small nucleolar RNA is filed under the name Carlito syrichta (Philippine tarsier). RNAcentral's name for it is "Small nucleolar RNA SNORA26 (ENSTSYG00000026503.1)". It matches the Rfam family "Small nucleolar RNA SNORA26". From Rfam's summary of the family: The snoRNA HBI-6 belong to the H/ACA family of snoRNAs, guiding the pseudouridylation of position U4522 if the 28S rRNA. HBI-6 is the human orthologue of mouse MBI-6 snoRNA. The record is from Rfam by way of RNAcentral. Lineage: Eukaryota; Metazoa; Chordata; Mammalia; Primates; Tarsiidae.
GUGCCAUUUUAAGGUUGAUAUAGUGCUUUAAUAAGCUAACACAGAAGGGUAAAGUAAGUCUCCAUAAAAUCCAGAGAAAAGACUGUAAAACUCCUCUUUGGAUCCUGUCUGGAGUCAUAGCU